ACGAACGCUGGCGGCGUGCUUAACACAUGCAAGUCGAACGGAAAGGCCCUGCUUUUGUGGGGUGCUCGAGUGGCGAACGGGUGAGUAACACGUGAGUAACCUGCCCUUGACUUUAGGAUAACUUCAGGAAACUGGGGCUAAUACCGGAUAGGAGCUCCUGCUGCAUGGUGGGGGUUGGAAAGUUUCGGCGGUUGGGGAUGGACUCGCGGCUUAUCAGCUUGUUGGUGGGGUAGUGGCUUACCAAGGCUUUGACGGGUAGCCGGCCUGAGAGGGUGACCGGCCACAUUGGGACUGAGAUACGGCCCAGACUCCUACGGGAGGCAGCAGUGGGGAAUAUUGCACAAUGGGCGGAAGCCUGAUGCAGCAACGCCGCGUGCGGGAUGACGGCCUUCGGGUUGUAAACCGCUUUCGCCUGUGACGAAGCGUGAGUGACGGUAAUGGGUAAAGAAGCACCGGCUAACUACGUG
RNAcentral lists this ribosomal RNA (467 nucleotides) under uncultured bacterium. RNAcentral's name for it is "partial 16S ribosomal RNA". It matches the Rfam family "Bacterial small subunit ribosomal RNA", at positions 29 to 507 of the family's 1533-position model. The record is from RNAcentral.